This is a non-coding RNA of Pelobates cultripes (western spadefoot toad), 360 nucleotides long. NCBI's taxonomy places the organism in Eukaryota, Metazoa, Chordata, Amphibia, Anura, Pelobatidae. The record is from the annotation of a GenBank genome assembly.
CCGUCACAGGAGCCGCCACGGGAUCCAGGUCCCUAGCCAGGCACCAACCAGUCCAAGCUCUCCAAGCGGUCCCGUAUGAGCGUCUAGUGCCGGGAGCCCAUGCGUCAGCCAGGAGGCAUCGAGUUGUGUCCGAAACUCCUUGGACUUCCCAAGGACCCCUGAAAUCCUCCAUGCGAGUAGCCGUAACGAUCCGUCCAGUAGGAGGGGAUGUUGUUGGCCCAACGGGUUCAGCAGAAGGUCCUGGUUGGAUGGCAGGAGUGCGGGAACGUCUAUUGCCAGUUCCAGGAGUUGUGGGAACCACGACUGGGUACCCCAGAAUGGGGUUAGUAGGACCAAAUCCGCCAUCUGGUGUCGUACUUG